UUAAGCGACUAAGCGUACACGGUGGAUGCCCUGGCAGUCAGAGGCGAUGAAGGACGUGCUAAUCUGCGAUAAGCGUCGGUAAGGUGAUAUGAACCGUUAUAACCGGCGAUUUCCGAAUGGGGAAACCCAGUGUGUUUCGACACACUAUCAUUAACUGAAUCCAUAGGUUAAUGAGGCGAACCGGGGGAACUGAAACAUCUAAGUACCCCGAGGAAAAGAAAUCAACCGAGAUUCCCCCAGUAGCGGCGAGCGAACGGGGAGCAGCCCAGAGCCUGAAUCAGUGUGUGUGUUAGUGGAAGCGUCUGGAAAGGCGCGCGAUACAGGGUGACAGCCCCGUACACAAAAAUGCACAUGCUGUGAGCUCGAUGAGUAGGGCGGGACACGUGGUAUCCUGUCUGAAUAUGGGGGGACCAUCCUCCAAGGCUAAAUACUCCUGACUGACCGAUAGUGAACCAGUACCGUGAGGGAAAGGCGAAAAGAACCCCGGCGAGGGGAGUGAAAAAGAACCUGAAACCGUGUACGUACAAGCAGUGGGAGCACGCUUAGGCGUGUGACUGCGUACCUUUUGUAUAAUGGGUCAGCGACUUAUAUUCUGUAGCAAGGUUAACCGAAUAGGGGAGCCGAAGGGAAACCGAGUCUUAACUGGGCGUUAAGUUGCAGGGUAUAGACCCGAAACCCGGUGAUCUAGCCAUGGGCAGGUUGAAGGUUGGGUAACACUAACUGGAGGACCGAACCGACUAAUGUUGAAAAAUUAGCGGAUGACUUGUGGCUGGGGGUGAAAGGCCAAUCAAACCGGGAGAUAGCUGGUUCUCCCCGAAAGCUAUUUAGGUAGCGCCUCGUGAAUUCAUCUCCGGGGGUAGAGCACUGUUUCGGCAAGGGGGUCAUCCCGACUUACCAACCCGAUGCAAACUGCGAAUACCGGAGAAUGUUAUCACGGGAGACACACGGCGGGUGCUAACGUCCGUCGUGAAGAGGGAAACAACCCAGACCGCCAGCUAAGGUCCCAAAGUCAUGGUUAAGUGGGAAACGAUGUGGGAAGGCCCAGACAGCCAGGAUGUUGGCUUAGAAGCAGCCAUCAUUUAAAGAAAGCGUAAUAGCUCACUGGUCGAGUCGGCCUGCGCGGAAGAUGUAACGGGGCUAAACCAUGCACCGAAGCUGCGGCAGCGACACUAUGUGUUGUUGGGUAGGGGAGCGUUCUGUAAGCCUGUGAAGGUGUGCUGUGAGGCAUGCUGGAGGUAUCAGAAGUGCGAAUGCUGACAUAAGUAACGAUAAAGCGGGUGAAAAGCCCGCUCGCCGGAAGACCAAGGGUUCCUGUCCAACGUUAAUCGGGGCAGGGUGAGUCGACCCCUAAGGCGAGGCCGAAAGGCGUAGUCGAUGGGAAACAGGUUAAUAUUCCUGUACUUGGUGUUACUGCGAAGGGGGGACGGAGAAGGCUAUGUUGGCCGGGCGACGGUUGUCCCGGUUUAAGCGUGUAGGCUGGUUUUCCAGGCAAAUCCGGAAAAUCAAGGCUGAGGCGUGAUGACGAGGCACUACGGUGCUGAAGCAACAAAUGCCCUGCUUCCAGGAAAAGCCUCUAAGCAUCAGGUAACAUCAAAUCGUACCCCAAACCGACACAGGUGGUCAGGUAGAGAAUACCAAGGCGCUUGAGAGAACUCGGGUGAAGGAACUAGGCAAAAUGGUGCCGUAACUUCGGGAGAAGGCACGCUGAUAUGUAGGUGAGGUCCCUCGCGGAUGGAGCUGAAAUCAGUCGAAGAUACCAGCUGGCUGCAACUGUUUAUUAAAAACACAGCACUGUGCAAACACGAAAGUGGACGUAUACGGUGUGACGCCUGCCCGGUGCCGGAAGGUUAAUUGAUGGGGUUAGCGCAAGCGAAGCUCUUGAUCGAAGCCCCGGUAAACGGCGGCCGUAACUAUAACGGUCCUAAGGUAGCGAAAUUCCUUGUCGGGUAAGUUCCGACCUGCACGAAUGGCGUAAUGAUGGCCAGGCUGUCUCCACCCGAGACUCAGUGAAAUUGAACUCGCUGUGAAGAUGCAGUGUACCCGCGGCAAGACGGAAAGACCCCGUGAACCUUUACUAUAGCUUGACACUGAACAUUGAGCCUUGAUGUGUAGGAUAGGUGGGAGGCUUUGAAGUGUGGACGCCAGUCUGCAUGGAGCCGACCUUGAAAUACCACCCUUUAAUGUUUGAUGUUCUAACGUUGACCCGUAAUCCGGGUUGCGGACAGUGUCUGGUGGGUAGUUUGACUGGGGCGGUCUCCUCCUAAAGAGUAACGGAGGAGCACGAAGGUUGGCUAAUCCUGGUCGGACAUCAGGAGGUUAGUGCAAUGGCAUAAGCCAGCUUGACUGCGAGCGUGACGGCGCGAGCAGGUGCGAAAGCAGGUCAUAGUGAUCCGGUGGUUCUGAAUGGAAGGGCCAUCGCUCAACGGAUAAAAGGUACUCCGGGGAUAACAGGCUGAUACCGCCCAAGAGUUCAUAUCGACGGCGGUGUUUGGCACCUCGAUGUCGGCUCAUCACAUCCUGGGGCUGAAGUAGGUCCCAAGGGUAUGGCUGUUCGCCAUUUAAAGUGGUACGCGAGCUGGGUUUAGAACGUCGUGAGACAGUUCGGUCCCUAUCUGCCGUGGGCGCUGGAGAACUGAGGGGGGCUGCUCCUAGUACGAGAGGACCGGAGUGGACGCAUCACUGGUGUUCGGGUUGUCAUGCCAAUGGCACUGCCCGGUAGCUAAAUGCGGAAGAGAUAAGUGCUGAAAGCAUCUAAGCACGAAACUUGCCCCGAGAUGAGUUCUCCCUGACCCUUUAAGGGUCCUGAAGGAACGUUGAAGACGACGACGUUGAUAGGCCGGGUGUGUAAGCGCAGCGAUGCGUUGAGCUAACCGGUACUAAUGAACCGUGAGGCUUAACCUU
This 2901-nucleotide ribosomal RNA is filed under the name Escherichia coli. Its description in RNAcentral is "bacterial LSU rRNA". It matches the Rfam family "Bacterial large subunit ribosomal RNA". RNAcentral also lists the same sequence under 2 other names. The record is from RNAcentral. Lineage: Bacteria; Pseudomonadati; Pseudomonadota; Gammaproteobacteria; Enterobacterales; Enterobacteriaceae.